UAUCAACUGACCUAGCAGACAAGCCACGAUGAUAGAAACUUUUCCUUUUAGGAGGGAACAAUG
This 63-nucleotide non-coding RNA is filed under the name unclassified sequences. The record is from RNAcentral.